This 450-nucleotide ribosomal RNA is filed under the name uncultured bacterium. RNAcentral describes it as "bacterial SSU rRNA". It matches the Rfam family "Bacterial small subunit ribosomal RNA", at positions 328 to 794 of the family's 1533-position model. The record is from RNAcentral.
GUACCAGACUCCUACGGGAGGCAGCAGUGGGGAAUAUUGGGCAAUGGGGGAAACCCUGACCCAGCGACGCCGCGUGAGGGAAGAAGGUUUUCGGAUUGUAAACCUCUGUCCUUGGUGACGAUAAUGACGGUAGCCAAGGAGGAAGCCACGGCUAACUACGUGCCAGCAGCCGCGGUAAUACGUAGGGGGCAAGCGUUAUCCGGAUUUACUGGGUGUAAAGGGAGCGUAGACGGCAGCGCAAGUCUGGAGUGAAAUGCCGGGGCCCAACCCCGGAACUGCUUUGGAAACUGUGCAGCUAGAGUGCGGGAGAGGUAAGCGGAAUUCCUAGUGUAGCGGUGAAAUGCGUAGAUAUUAGGAGGAACACCAGUGGCGAAGGCGGCUUACUGGACCGUAACUGACGUUGAGGCUCGAAAGCGUGGGGAGCAAACAGGAUUAGAUACCCCCGUACAA